UACGGAAGGGGCAAGCGUUGUUCGGAAUCAUUGGGCGUAAAGGGCGCGUAGGUGGUCUUGUAUGUCUACCGUGAAAGCGUACGGCUCAACCGUAUUUAGUCGGUAGAAACUGCAGGACUUGAGGCUGGGAGGGGCUGGUGGAAUUCCCUGUGUAGCGGUGAAAUGAGUAGAUAUCGGGAGGAACACCAGUGGCGAAGGCGACUACCUGGCCCAUUCUUGACGCUGAGGCGCGAAAGCUAGGGGAGCGAACGGG
RNAcentral lists this ribosomal RNA (253 nucleotides) under uncultured bacterium. RNAcentral describes it as "partial 16S ribosomal RNA". It matches the Rfam family "Bacterial small subunit ribosomal RNA", at positions 524 to 776 of the family's 1533-position model. The record is from RNAcentral.